GACGAACGCUGGCGGCGUGCUUAACACAUGCAAGUCGAACGGAAAGGCCCUGCUUUUGUGGGGUGCUCGUGUGGCGAACGGGUGAGUAACACGUGAGUAACCUGCCCUUGACUUUGGGAUAACUUCAGGAAACUGGGGCUAAUACCGGAUAGGAGCUCCUGCUGCAUGGUGGGGGUUGGAAAGGUUCGGCGGUUGGGGAUGGACUCGCGGCUUAUCAGCUUGUUGGUGGGGUAGUGGCUUACCAAGGCUUUGACGGGUAGCCGGCCUGAGAGGGUGACCGGCCACAUUGGGACUGAGAUACGGCCCAGACUCCUACGGGAGGCAGCAGUGGAGAAUAUUGCACAAUGGGCGGAAGCCUGAUGCAGCAACGCCGCGUGCGGGAUGACGGCCUUCGGGUUGUAAACCGCUUUCGCCUGUGACGAAGCGUGAGUGACGGUAAUGGGUAAAGAAGCACCGGCUAACUACGUG
Molecule: ribosomal RNA, 468 nt
Filed under: uncultured bacterium
Lineage: Bacteria
Description: partial 16S ribosomal RNA
Rfam family: Bacterial small subunit ribosomal RNA
Source: RNAcentral